RNAcentral lists this long non-coding RNA (38411 nucleotides) under Capsicum annuum. RNAcentral describes it as "long non-coding RNA (CANN_LNC015151)". The record is from RNAcentral. Lineage: Eukaryota; Viridiplantae; Streptophyta; Magnoliopsida; Solanales; Solanaceae.
CUUGAAACACUGAAGUGUUUCUUCAUCAACCCAUGGGUACAACAAUGUGAUGUUUUCUCACCAAACCUCAAGAAAUUGACGUUGCGGGGGUGCCAACUGCCAUGGGACCAAAUGACGAUACUGUGCACGUUACCCAAACUCGAGGUGCUCAAGCUCAAGGAUUAUGCUUUCCAAGGAUCAGAAUGGGAGCCAACUGACGAACGCUUUCAGCAGCUAAAAUUCCUACUGUUGGAUGGGACUGAUCUUAUCCACUGGAAAGCCAGUUCUUUUCAGUUCCCUAAGUUUGAGGGUCUUGUUCUGAAGAAUUGUUAUUGUCUGUAUGAGAUUCCUGAGGAUGUAGCGGAAAUACCUACCUUGCAGUUCAUUGAAUUGUAUCACUGUAGCUCUUAACAACAUAGCAUAGGAAAUGACGAUCUUGUGGUGCGGAUCCACAAAUUUUACAACUGUGAGCUUUUCAUGCUUUCAUUAAAUUUUCUUUCAUGCAAAGAUCAAUUGAUACCAUAUUGUAUUUACUCUUUUGUUCUAUUUGUGUGGCAGCUGAACUUUAAAGGCCUGCAUCCGUCUGAUAUUCUCCAUGCCCUCUCAACAAGCAAUGAGGCUAAUGCAGAGGUUUUAACCUGUUAACUUCUAUUUCUUUUGUGAUUGCCGAGGAAAAUUAAGAGUUAAUCAGGUUGCGUUGAUGAUACAAAAUCUUUUCUUUUUCCAGGUAAGUCGGGCUUUUCCCCAGGAAUGAUUCAUCAACUUGGUUUCUUUUGGGAAGUUACUAUGUAUAUCCAUUGGAAGAUUUGGUACGUAAGAGUAGUGGAACCACCUUUGCCCAAUUUUUGCUGGAAAAAUAUACUUUGUAGAUAGGUAAAAUUGUAUGCAUAUGGUGAAUGCCCUUGAAACCAAGAACAUUACCUUUGAUAGGAGGUUGUGGAGGAACCGGAUUAGGCUAAGAUGGUAGUAGAUAGUAGUGUGUUGUCUUUCUAUCUAUCCAUACUAGUAUCGUGUAGUUGUAGUACUGCUCCGGUAGGUUCUUGACCUUCGCUUUCUGGUACUAUCUAUUUCUUGUACUUCGAUUAUCCUAUUAUUUGGCUGUCUGUUACUAUUCAGAAUGCUUUGUUAUACUUUUACUUUCGUUUAUUCCUUUUUUCGACUGCUUUGGAUUAUUUGUCCUUGAGCCGAGGGUCUGCUUACACUCUACUUAUGGGACUACACUGAAUAUUUGUUGUUUUUGGGGGAUGCCCUCGACUUUUUUGUAGGUGUAUUCACUCCUUUGGUGAAAUCCUGAUUCCCUCUCUGGUUAGGUAAUGCUAAAUGAUUUAAUUUGCUCAUUUAACGUUCAUAGCAUUGUGUUGAUUAUCACAAGAUCAAUUAUCUUGAGUAAUUCUCAGAACACUUGAUUGUACAGAGAAGAAGAGAAGCAGUAAGUAGAGUUAAGAGAAGAGAGAGGAGAAGAGAGAAGGGAAUGUAGAGUAAGAUUGAAUGAUUAUUAUUACUUGGUUCUUCUUUGUAAUGUACAAGUGAUAUAUAUAUAUAUAGUAGUGAAUGUAGUGAUAACUAACUCUUAACAACUAUAUGAUCUAACAGCUAGGUGAUAACUAACUUUUAACUAACUUUAUGACUUGUAACUAACUUUAACAGAUUAGAGACUUAAGCUAUAAUAAGAUAAUUAAGAACAUGUGAUCAAUUCAUUACUUAACGCAUUGUUUAUAUAUAAUGAUUUGUAUCCUAGAUAUCUUUCCUUAAUACGUUAGUAAAAUCCGACAUCUUCCUUCCAUACUCGAGUAUAUUCAAGUUCGUACAUUUCUUUUCUUCUGUAGUAUAUCUUUCUUCCAGAAUAACUAAUAUAACCCGAUAACAGAUAACCAAAUCGGGACAUGGUAAAAAGUGGCAUUAUCCCAUUAUUCAAAUUUCUCUCCCCACACUCUCACUCUUUCGUCGUUCAAGUUGGAUACUUCUUAAAUGGUCUAUUCAAUUUUGAAAUCUAGAAAGUGACAUAGUGCGUUCUGGUUAGGGAAUCUUAAUAGCUUAGUUGAUUAACUAUCUGAACUUUCACCUUAUUGAUGAUGGUUCAGAAUCCCUAUCUCGUAACCCCUUCUCCCAUUUCCCCUUCCCAUUUGUGCUAAUUUGUCAGCCAAAAAGUUCUGCUCCCAGUAGACAUGCUGAAUGCUGGGGUUAUUCAACAGUUGGAUCAAACUAUGUUGCUCGGACUCUUCAAUAAUGUCAAUGCAUGCGUGUCGGAUUUGCCAAAAUUAGGUAUUUUUGGAGAGGCCGACACAGGUACGACAUCGAAGGUGAAGAGCAAAUACCUGCAGUCAGAGAGCAAGUGUGAACUAUGUUCUCAGACUCCUCCAAAAUGUCGAUGGGUGUGUCGAAUCUUUCCAAAAUUGUGUAUUUUUUAACGAUCCGACACGGGUGCGGCAAGAUUUUUGGAGAAUCCAAGUAACAUAGCGUAUGAAUAUAAGGCUAUUCUCAGCUGUUAAUAAUUGCAGCAACUGCAGGCAAUCAGUUUUAAUUACUGAAGGAUAUAGUCUAUGAUCAAGUGCCAAAGUCGGUCUCACUCUCAUGUAAUAUCAAAGUUUAGUAACUUCACAACAAGUGAGAAAAGUAUGUUUCAUGCAUGUUUAUAUGAUGCAAAUAUGAAGCUUUUGACAGUUCAUUGUGACAUCCAGUCCAUACAAAAUGUUUGAUUUUUGGCAGUGUAUUAAUUUUCCAUAGCUCUCUCUUUGUCGAGUGUCUAUCGAAAACAACAUCUCUAUCUUACCUCUGAGGUAGUAGUACGGAUUUCGUAUGCUAUACCCUCUCCAGACUCCAUUUUAUAUGAAUAUACUGGAUAUGUGUUAAUUUUCCAAAACCAAGUAAAGGAUGAGUUAGAAGAAAAUGGUGUAACACAUAAAAUUUGAGUCCAUCAGAGUCAAAAGGGCAAAUUUUUUGAUCAAAAAUAUCAGAAGGGACAAUUGGUUUGGAAAGAAACCAAAGGGGACAAAACGCUCUUGGCUAAGUGGAACAUCCCGCACUUUCGGGCUAACGUUGAGCCGUCUUUCCUACGUUCGUAGACCCAAAACCUACGAUUUCUAUUUAAAUAUAAGAGUGAAUAACAUUUACUUAGUGUGGGAACAUCCUUAGAGAUGAAUAUACGUCGUAAAAAUCUCCUACCUCAAAAGUUAAGUUGAGCACUUUCGUAUUGAUUGACUUUUAGUUGACGAUUUUGCAUGUGUCAAAUUCCAACGAUCAUUUCUCCUUGGAUAUAAAGAGUUAUAUCGCAUACUAUAUAUCAAAUUAAAGCCCUUUGAGUUUUCUUUCCAAUGCCACUGAUCGUUCGUUUGAGUUUGGAGUCAAAAGUUAUGAGUGUUUGAAUGAGGCACUGUCCAGGGUGUGUGAUGGCCAUGCGCCGCACACCAAUCGCCUAAGCACACUUCCUCAGCUAUGGUUUGGCCAUGCGACGCACACCCUUAAGGUAUGUGAUGGCCACGCGACGCAAAGCCAUUCCGGGGCGUCAAAAAGUGUUCCAUUUGAUUUAUUUAACGGCUUAAGGGUCAUUUUACCAACCCAUAACUAUUCCUAACCCUCUUUGGGCAAAACUAAUGCAGCCUAUUAUACGUUAUAUUGCCUCUAUAAAAUCCCUGGUCAUCUCUCCAUUAGCGAGAAAGUAGAAACCACCUAGGGUUUGCAGAUUUUAAUCUCCAAGGGCAAAUUAUCUACGUUCUCUUUGAUUUUUCUCCAUCAAAAGGUACGUGGGACUAUCUUAAAGUUCAUUGGCAUAGGUUUUACGAUUUUUAUGAGCUUAAAAGUUAUAUAUGUAUGUAUAUGUAAUGAGAUUUGAGAAAUUGUUUUAAGAGCAUGCAUCAUGAACUCAAUUUGAUGAAAGUAUGUAUUUGUCAUGUGGUUUUUCCAUAAGUUUGAUUUAUAAUCUUGUGCAUACAUGAUUUGAGUUCGAAAAGUAAUUUAUGAAUGUGAAUUGUGAAAUUUCUUUCCCCAUGAUAAAAUUUAUAGUCUUUGCAUGGUAUGAAUUGUGAAUUGGGUUUGAGAGCAUGAAUUAUAAGCCCCUUUUUUAUCAUGACAUUUAUGUAUAACUAAUGUUGGGGUUGGUUUAUGAAUGAUGACAAUUCUUGAGUUCUAAAUGCUUCUUUAACCACUAUGCAUUGUUGUUUGCACGCUUUCAAAAAGGGUCUUUCUUAUGCUAAAGGGUCUUGUGUCUUAACUAAAAGAAAUGCAUGCGUUGAAUAAAUGAAUUGUCCACGUGUUAAAGAGUUAUGUGCACGAGUUUACAUAUGCUUUUGUAAAUAAGAAUUCUCAUGUGAUUUGAUAAAAUCUUUUGGUGGUCAUAUGCAUGUUUUUGAAUGAGAAGGGCGGAUACGAUGUGGUAUGAUGUGAAUGACUUGCAAGUUUGGGUAUGAUGAUACCCGGUGAUGAUAUGCUUUUAACAGAAUAAGCAUUGAAUGUUUUAUAAGCAUGAAGCAUGGUUUUAAAAAAUUAAAAAUGGGUUUAAAGAAAGUUAGAUGGUUACUCGAAGAAGGCAUUUGAGUGUAAGGGAUCUUCGUUGGAAAGCGAGUUUUGCCUAUUCGGGAGACAUGAUUGUCUAUGGUCAAUGUAUACGUGCUCCUGAGGCAUCCUUUAUAAGUGAGGUAAUAAAUCACAAAUGUUAGUUUAAGUGGCACAAUGCUUAGAUGACCAUAAUAAUUAAUUAGAUGUGAUUUAGUAAAAUUACAAUUGACAUAGCGAAGUAAACAUGCUCUAAAUGACUUACAACAACUAAUUAGAGGGGAUAUAGCAAAAUUACUAUAAAAAUAUUUGUAAAAAAAGUUUAAGUGAGCUCAUAAGACGUCAAGUUAAUUUAAAACACCAUGAGUUAAUUUAUUAUUUUAUGUCUAUAUUAUAUUUUUAUUAAAUAUUAUUGAUUUUUUAAUAUUAGAUGACUUAUAAUAAUUAAUUAGUGAUAAUAUUUAGUAAAACUAUAAUUGAAGCAGCUGAAGGAGAUAUGUCAUAAAUAUUUAUUUUACUUUUGUAUUAAAUAAUAUUAUUUUUAAUAUAUAAAUAAUUUAUAAUAAUUAAUUAAAAAUAAUAUAAUAAAAUUACAGAGCAAGCAGCAUGCUGAAGUAGGUAUGUUGAAACUUAUAGCUCAUUUCUAAUAUAGUAGUAAUAUAUAUUUUUUUUUCUUUGUCCAAAACAUAAUGUGAUCUAUAUAUCUUUGUUUCCAUCAAAUCAAAUUCAUUUGUAAGAUUGAGCAGAUUAAACUAUGACCUUGUUUAUUAAUCUAUUUUAAUUUAAUUUUUUCUUUUUUUUAAGUUCUCACAUGGGAGUUUAUUUCAUGAUAGAUCAAAAGAAGUAUAAAGAGGUGGAUAGAUGCUACUAAGCAUGCUUAGUAGUAAACUAAAUAUUCAGUUUGGAUCAAAAAUGAAAGUUCUUUUGUACUUGAAUUCUAAAUUUUAAAGAGUUUUUAAUGUCAUUCUUCAAAGUAGAUAUAAUCUAAGUAGGCAAAUUUGUAGCCUUAUUGAAGAAAAUGUUUCUUUUAGUAUUCUCUGCCAAAUUUGCGAGAAGAUCAAUUGUGGUGUUGCCUUCACGAAGUGUGUGGAUGAAUUGAAAUUGACCGUGAGAUUUUACAGUCGAAAUUUUCCUGAGUACAAUCAAAAUACUUUCAAAAUUAACUUACCUCAUUUUAACUUUUAAUUAAAUACAAGAAUAGGCGGUUUCUUAUAUUUCUUUCGUCCCAUUUUAGUUGGGCACAUUUCAUUUUACAUAGUAAUUAAGAAAUCAUAAAUUGAAUGAUGAAUUUUAUUAUUUUACUUUUUACUUAUAUUAAUGAUAUUCAUUGAGCAUAAGAAUGGAUAUUGGAAUUGUAAUUGUUCAUAUUUAAUGUAUACUGUUAAUUAUAAUUAAUUUUAUUCUGAUUUAAUGUAAGUGAUUAAAUAAUACUGUAUAAAAUAUUUUUUUUAGUAAGGCACGAACUUCGAGAAAAUGCACCUUUUCAAUAAAUAUUCCAUUUGUAAUAGCAAGUCCAAAGUCUUUAUAGUUGUCAAGUCAACUUAUACAAUGAAUUAUAUGAAAUAUUUCUAUUUAUUGUCUGCCCAAAUUGGUUGGUUUUACAUUAGAAUGUUAUAACAAACUAAAAAUUUAAGAACCCUAUUAAUUAUUAUUAUUAUUAUUAUUAUUAUUAUUAUUAUUAUUAUUUGUCAAAAGUAAGUUUUGACUUAAAAGUAACACGAAAUUAAAAAUUUAAAAACCUUAUUGAUAUUAGAUUUUUCGGGGCUGUGAAGAGAACCCAACUUUUCCUCAUUCUUUCUAUAGGAAGGUUGAUCUUUUACUUAAGCGUUAAGGGACUUUGCUUCUUCUUAACAACCAGAUGACUAUAGAGAACAUCCAUUAUGCCAACAGGUCCCACCACCAACUCUAUCUUAGAAGUCGAGUCACCAUUUAUUUUUUCAGAUCUGCUGCUAUUAUGUAUGUGUUUACUUGCGAAACGGUAUAGUUGAAUAUAUCUAAGUGAUUUAAAGGUGCAUGAUUCUGAUUGAUCUUGUGAAUGAAAUGAUAACGAAUUAAAUCGCAAUAAUUAACAAGAAAUGAAUAUAAAAAGACAAAAAAUAAUCAAGUCGUGUAUUAGAUUUUGAGAAUCGACCCUUGAUAAUGGCCUAUUUGUAACGUGUUCGGAAUGGAUUGAGAGAUAAUAGAUCCACAAUAUGUGAUCGUUUAAAUGUACGUCUUGUUUAAAGGGAGAUCAAUUACAACGUGUUUGGAAUGGAUUGAGGGAUAAUAGAUUCACAAUAUCUAAUUAUUUAAACGUUUUGUUUAAGGAGAGAUCAUUCUCUCAAUACUUUUAAAUUUUUUAUAUUAGUUUUUCUCAAUAUAAGAGCGUGCAAUACAUUAUAAGAACCAGCAUACGAACCGUGUGAAUCAAAUUUUGGCCCUAAAUACUCCUUUAAAAAUUCAAACCCUCAUCUGAUUCUUUUGGCAUGGGAGAUCGUGUUAUGAGAUUAGGACACGAUAUUUGGUGUGAAGUAUAAGAUAUAGUAGUCUCGAGGAUAAAGUAUAGGAUUAUUUUAUUUUAUAUUUGGUUGGAGGUAUUAGCUAGUCCUGAGAUUAUUUGUUCCGUCAUUUAUACAUAGUGAUGGAAUAAGUUAUUUCAUAUAUGAUGAAAUAAUGCAUCUUGAAAUAACUAUUUCUGGAACUAAUUAUUCCUGGAUAACUCUUUCCUAACCAAACGACCCUAAUCCUCUUUUAGGUUCCUUCAUUCCCCUGUUAUAUGUUUCUUUAUCCAAAUUCCAAACCCUAAUGCAAUCCAUGUAUGCAUGUUUCCAUUCAAAGGCGGAGACAGUCUAGUAAUAGAGGUUCGUCCAAAUUCCCUUCGACGAAAAAUUAUAUUAUUAAUAUAUGAUUAAAAUUAUUUUUAUGUAUAUAUUGUAGAUGUUGAACCUCCUCUGAUGAAUUUUUCUUCAGAUUUUGAAUCCUGACCCCUCAACAGAAAUUCUGACCCCGUCUCUGUUUCAUCAAAUCCAUUUGUAAGAGUGAGCGGAUUGAAUUCUAACCUCAUUUAUUAGUCUAUUUCAAUUUUAACUCAUUUCAAUGAAAAUAAUUUUAUAAUUAACUUAGCUUAUUUUAACUUUUAAAUAUAGAAGAGCGGGUGGUGCAUUGUAUGAACCAGGGCACGAACCUCGAGAAAAUGCAUGUUUCCAUCAAGUCAAUUCAUUUGUAAUAAUAAGUCGUCAAUUCAUACAAGAACUUGAAUUAUAGAAUUAUACGAAUUUUUCCUAAUUAUCUAGUCGAAAUUGGGUGGUUUUACACUUGAGUGCUAUAACAAUACUGGAAUUUAAUUCUUGUCAUAUUAUGAAAAUUCAAUUGAAAGGUAAAUAAUGGGUCGCACUUCCUCGAAACUCCAUUUGUUAUUUAUUUUUAUUUUUAUGUUUUGUUGUGGUUAUUUCUGAGUCGAGGGUCUAUCAAAAAUAGUCUCUCUACUUCAUCUGAGGUAGCAAUAUGGACUGCGAACACUUUAUCUUCCUUAGAUGUAAGUUUGUGGAAAUACACUGAGUAUGUUAUUAUACUUCGCCAAGAUCUCGAGGUAAAGGAUGAAUGUCAUUGUUACUGAGAAAAAUAAUAUAAACAUACACCAUAACUUAUCAUAUUUACACGAACUUCCACUAUUACAAAGUAAUUAUAAAAAUCUCAAUUAAUUAUGUAUCUUUGUUGGAUAUAUCGAGAACUAAUUAUGUUCUCGACAGACCCAAAAUUGAAAACAAUGUAUUGAGAGCUAAUUAUGCAUCUUUACAAACGAAAAAAAUAUUUUUUCAUUGAAUAUAUUAUGUAUCUUGACAUACCCAAAAUAAAAAAAAGUAUAUCGAGAGUUAUUAUGUAUCUUUACAAAGGAAAAAAUGUAUGUUCGUUGGAUGUAUCGAGAACUAAUUAUAUAUCUCGACAGAUCCAAAAUCGAUAAAAAAAAAUGUAUCAGAAGCUAUUAUGUAUUUUUAUAAAGAAAAAAAAAUAUUUUUAUUGAAUAUAUUAGGAGUUAAUUAUGAUAUUGAUAGACCCAAAAUUAAAAAUUUUAAUAAUUAUGUAAAAUAUCAAAUUUUUUUACAAUCAAACUUCAAACUAUCGAAAUUUAUGUUUGCCUCUUGAAAUUAACUAUUCUUUCAGAAAUAUUUCAUGCGACAAACCUACUAAUGGAGAAAAGUAUAUUUCAGAAUAUAUUUUUAAAUUUUUCUGUAUUUGAUUGAUUAAAAUUCAAAGCUAAACAAUAGGUCCCACUCCCACAAAACCUUGAGAAUUAAACAGACAGGUGUCAUUUUGACAUGUGCAUAAGUAAAAUUGUUUUGCACCAGCAUCUUCUAUCUAUUAUUCUCCAUUUUAAAUUAAAGUAAUGUUUUAAAAAUAACAGUAUUUUGCUAUAAAACUCAUUUUUUAUAGUUAUAUUUUAUAUAAUUAUCGUUUAUAGUCGCUAUAUUCGAUUUACGUCUACUGUAUUCGAUUUUACAGAUAGUAUGUAUUCAUAUAAAAUAUAAAUACAGUCCCUAUUUAGUCACGCCAAACAUGAAAUUCAAUAUUUUUAAAAAGAAAAAAAUCUCAAUCACACUUAUCUCGUUGAACUGAAUAUUUUCUUGUCUAAACUGCCAUUAUCUUUUUUAUAUUUUUUUUAUUUUUUGUGUUUUUCUCAUUUUUUCUUCUUUUUUCUAUUUUUUCCUACUUUUAUUUUUUUCGUUUCUUUCUUUUUGUUUUUUUUUUCUCUUUAAUCUCUUUCUUCUUUUCUUUUCUUUUUUAAUUUUUUUAUUUUCUUUUUUGUAUUUAUUUUCUUUAUUAUUUUUUUUGUUCUAUUUUAUAAUUUUUGUAUUUUCAAAAAAUAUGACUAGUCGAGUAUAAGUCAUAGAUGAUAACGUAAAUAUCAUAAUUGUUUAUUGUAUUUGUAGUCACACCGUCAUUUAUAUUUUUGUAUUUAUUGAUACAACUAUAUUUGUAUUUUAAAGUUUGCACUUGUAUUUAUAUUUUAUAGUUCACAUUUGUAUCUGUAUUUAAUAAUUCGCACAUUUAUUUGUAUUUGUUAGUUUGCGCCAUCAUUUAUAUUUUAUGUAAUUCACACUUGUAUUUUGAAGAGUUAUUUUGUAUUUGUAUUUUAUAAUUGAUUGCAUAUUAUAUUGGAUUAUAUUUAUAUUAUGAUUUUAUUGUGUUUGUAUAUUUAGAUUAUAUUUGAAUUAUACUUGUAUUUAUAUUCUAUUUUCUUCAUUAUCUUUUAAUUUUUAAGAAAUUAUUUUGUAUUUGUAUUUGUAAGUUGAUUGCAUAUUGUAUUUAGUUGUCACUAUGUACAGUUUGUCAUUUGUAUUUGUAUACAAAUAAGUAAGUGCAUUAAUUGUAUUUUCAUGAUUCUAAAAUAUAUAAAUAUGUAAUGUAUCAUUUGAUACAAAUGUACCGUUUUGUAUUUGUAUAUCAAAAUUAUCAUUCAUAUUUGUAAAUAAACAAAUAUCACUUGAUACAAAUGCAAUGACAAACAAAUGAAACAAAUGAUUUUACAAAUAUAAAUACAAUAUGUAUUUGUAUAUAUUGUAUUUGUAUAAAAAUUUGAGUUGUAUUUAUUUGUAUAAAUAAAUACAACUAGUAACAAUAAAUACAAACAUGUAUUCGUAGAAAGAAUAUCAAUCGUCCUUUUCAAUAAUUAAAAAAUACAAAUGAUAGUUCACACUUGUAUUUAUAUGUUAUAGUUCACAUUUGUAUUUGUAUUUUAUAGUUCACACUUGUAUUUAUAUAUUAUAGUUCAUAUUUGAAUUUGUAUUUUAUAAUUCGCACUUAUAUUUGUAUGUUAUAGUUCGCAUUUAAAUUUGUAUUUUAUAGUUUGCACUUGUAUUUGUGUUUGCUAGUUCGCACAAAUGAAAAGAAGGAGAGAAAUUGAAAAAAAAAAAAAAGAGGAGGAAAAUGAGAGAAAAAGAAGGAGAAAAAAUAUAAAAAAAAGAAGAAGAAGAAGAAAAAGAAGAAGAAGGAGGAGAAAAAGAAAAAGAAAAAAAAAAGAAAAAGAAAAAGAAAAAAAUGAAUAAAAAAUAAAAAGAAAAAAGUGAAAAAAUAAAAAAUAAAGAGAAAACAAAAAAAAGAAAAAAAAACUAAAGAAAAAAAAAACUAAAACAGGAAAAAAAGAAGAGAAUAAUAGAAAAUAGAAAAAGAGAGAAAAUACAUAAGAAAUGUUAUGAAUUGUAAUUAGGAAUAAUUAAUAGGCAAAAUGGGGUUAUGAAUUGUAAUUAAUUGAAAAUUAAUCUUUAAGUGGUAAUAAAAGCUCAAUAGUGGCUAAUCCGGGUAGUUUUUCCUUAAGUUGAUUGACCUGUUUUAACUUAUUACUAAAUUUAAAAAUAAAAAUUAUUUUUAAAUCUUAUGAUCUUAAACUAAAGAUAUGUCAAAUGUAUCAAAAUAUUCUUUAUGCAUGUGGUCUUAAACAAGUCAAAUUUAAAAUUGAAAUUAAAAAAUUACUAAAAAGAAAAAGGAUCAUGCUUUUUAAAAUGCACUAAAAAGAAAAAUAGAUAAAAUAAAAUAAAAACGAAGGAGUAAUAUAAUUUGUUAGUAUAAGUUUUACCUAAGAGUAACAUGAAGUAAAAAUUUUACUUUUUGAAACCUAUUAAUAUGUUGUGUAUAUAUUAGAACGAAUUACUCUUUGAUAGUUGAAUUUAUCAAAGUGAUUUAAGGAUAUAUUAUUGUAAAUGAAACAAUAACGAAUCGAAAUAAUAACGAAGAAAUGAAUAUAAAAGUAAAAAAAUAAUCAAAUCGUGUAUUAGAUCUUGAGAAUCGACCCUCUCAUACUUUAUAGCAUGGAAUUAAUUUUAUCAAUUUGCAUUAAAGCAAUAACAUUAAUUAUAUAAUCAUGCAAAAAUUAUGCGUCAUCAUUAGCUACAAUUAUUAUUUUCUACGCGCAAUAUAGUUCAACAAUUCAACUGAUUUAGCUCUUUGUUUUCUCACUAGUGUUCCCAAAUAAAAUACAGACAAAAAAAAGAAAGAACAAGAAAACGAGUAGACUAAAGCCUAAAGAAAAAUCUACAUGUGUUUCACCUUUCAUAGGUUAAAUUCCUAAAUAUUUGAUGUAGAUUUUUAAUAUUUUCUUACAUAUAUUUGAUGUUGAUGUAGACGAUAACAGAUUCAGAAUUUUUAUUAAAAGGUUCAAAAUAUGAAAUAGACACACGAAAAAAUUAAAGGAAAUUCUACAUAUACUGCAUAUGCAUACGUAAAAAAUAAUUUAAAUUAUAUAUAAAUAAUAUAAUUUUUCGCCAAAAAGGAUCAGGAUGAACCUCCUCGGCUAUAUCUAGCUCCGUCCUUGAUUAAUAAAAUUCACAAAUUUUAAAUUCUGAAUUGGUUUCUAAGUCGUAUUUUUGCCUUUGGCUCACCUCACAAACACACUUAAAAAAAUGUUGUAACUAUUUACUCUUAGAAAUUAAGAAGGAUUUUGAUUAAUACCCUGUUUGCGCCAAGUUUUUGAAAGGCUAAAAGUGUUUAUUUAUUCAAAAACUGCUUGCUUUAACAAAAGUGAAGUGUUUUGCCAAACUUUGAGAGAAAAAUAAGUGCUUCGGAGAGUAGAAAAUUGUUUUUGAAAAGCCAAAAAAAAUUAUUUUUAUACGCUAACUGUUACUCAAAAGUAUUUUCAUGUACUUUUAAAACAUAAACCUCUUCUUACCAAAAGUAAUUUUUCAAAAACAGAGGCAGAUUUAAGGGGUUACAUGAGUUUUUGGGAACCCAGUAACUUUCGUGUGAAUAUUGUAAUUAUAAUAAGAAAUCUAGUAAAUAUAUAAAAUUUGUAAGUUGGGAACCCACAAUAAACUGUAUUAUUGGUCUAGUGAUAAAGAAGAUGCUUGCUGAAGCAUUGUUGUCCUCUUGAUUGUGGGUUCUAGCCUUAUCCGUCACUUUUUUUUGAAUUUUGAUUUUUCCCUAGAAACCCACAAAUUUAAAAUUCUAGAUUCGCUCCUGAAUAUAAAUCAUCCCAUUUUGGGUCUAAGUUAAAUGAAUUCUCUUAUUGGCCAACAUGCAUGCAUGUUCUUGUUGACCAGCUGCUACCUUGGUGUGUGGACUCUAUAAAAGGAAUUAAUACUUCUCAUAAUAAACUAGUCACUAGAUAUUUGGAGCUAACAUUUGUAAUUAAUAAAUAAUUCCUUCAAAAAGGCAAAAAGCUUCAAGAAUGGAACGUUCCCUAAAGUCUAAAAUUGUUCAAAAGUUGGAAAGAAAAGAUGUGGAAAAAAAUAGAAGGAAUCAUAUGAAGAAUCUCUAUAAUCAACUUCAUUCCAUGCUUCCUACUCAUGCCUCUACCUCUAAGGUUUGUUAUUAAAAAUAUUUAGCGUACUUACUUACUAUGAUUUCAAAUUUUGAAUUCAUAAAUUUUAAUUUGAAAGUGCAACAGAUUCAAAUAUCAAACUCCUAAAUUCUGAUAUGCCUCUGUGCUGAAGGAGUCUUUCGAUAUUAUUUCAUCUGAAUUUGCUUCUGUAUUGCACGCAUGUAUUCAUAUUCGUCACCAACAGACUAUCGAAACACACCUCGAUUAAUGUCUCAGGAUUCAUAUACUUUGUAUUAUGAUUAUGCAAUGAGGUUUAAUCACAUUGAUAGAUUCACCACAAACCUCCAGCCCUCACCACCACCUCUUGUGGCUCAGCCUGUGCCAUCUUUUCAUUUGUUCAAAUAUUAUUUCUGCAAUACACGUUUGAACUUCUGCAUGCUUCGUGUCAUCCAAAAACAUAACAACUUCUUGUGCAAACAAAACAAGUUUAAAUAUGCUGCCAUAGAGUGUAUUCUUCACCUCUUUCGGCCUCGUUAUAGCCCAAAAACAAGAAGUGCAUAAUUCGGAUCUAAAUAAUCAGUGAACAGGAGAAGAUAUCAACAUUGCCAAUUUGGCUCUAUCAUUUUUUCAACAAAAUGUAACUUGUAAUUUGGCUCUCUCCUUUCUUCAAGAAAAUGUAACGAACUGCUGUUUCUGUGAUUACUUCUUCUAGUUUCCUUUUCAUGUAACUAGUUGGAUCCAUCUAUCAAUAUAGUUUUUGCCAAAAAUAAAAAAAUAAAAAAAAAUCUAGUUAAUGGACUUUAUAAAAAUCAAGUAUAAUAUUAACCUGAAUAUUUUAGCCAAAGUAUGUAACCCAUUGAGAAUGAUAUGAAUGUUAGUAGAAAAUAUUGCAAGGGAAGCAGGUUUCGUUACCUAUUCCGAGUACAACCCUCGAAAUGAACUUACUGUUAUAUGGUUCGGUGUAUGGAGUAGUUUAGUGCAUUGAGAUCAUGUGAGCACUCAUUUAGAUGAGUCUACUUGUGUGUUAAAGGUGUUCGACUGAAUUUAGCUUUGGUCUAAAUUAUGCAUAUAUAUAAGUUCUUUAAUUAGAAUCCAACAACUCAAAAAAACUAAAUUCAAAUUCCAUGAACUUCAACCUCUCGAAUCUACCUUUUAUACAUGCUUGUAUAUUUCUUGUAAUACAAUUUGAGUAUUCUUGCAGGAAACAACAAUGACAGUGUCAGAUCUAAUAGAUGCAACGGUGAAUUACGUAAAGAGCUCGAAAAUGAAUUUGGAGAAGAGCAAGAAAGACUUGGAAGAACUGAAAUUGGGCAAAAAGAGAGCCCAAUCACUCAAUGCAGCUAAUGAGCCCAGCUCAAGCACAAAGUCAACUUCGCAGAUAGAAUUUCAUGAAAUGGGCCCAAAUAUGAUCGUGGUUUUAAUAACUGGCCUUUACAAUAUAGCCACUUUUAAUAACAUCAUUCGAUUAUGCCACGAGACUGAAGGUGUUGAAGUUUUGUCUACCAACUUUCAACUCAAUGGAAACUCUACACUUCAGAUUUCUUUUGAAACUCAGGUCAGUAUACAUAAGAAAUUACUUUGGUGUGUUUGGAUAUCAGUGUUGCUCAAUGGACUUCGCGAUCUAAAGAAAAAUUAUAUUAAAAAUAUUCUUAAGUUUUUUCAUAAAGUCCAUACAAUAACGAGUCAAAAAAAAAAAAACAAAGCCGACAUAACUCUAAUUUUAUCUAGAAUUAUGAGAGGCAACGCAUGAUGUGUGGUUUACCUACAUUCCUAUACAAACAUGAUGUUGGAAUUUGAAAUAUGUUUUGCUAAUAAUUGCAUAAAAACAUUGUUUGUUAUAGUUGUCAUUUUUUUUUACAAAUCAAAAUCAAACUAGAUUUGUUUAAACUAACAUUAAAUGUUUUGAUAUAUUUAGGUGCAGAUCGACACAAAUUCAACAAUGGAAUUUAAAGCCACAACUUUGUGUGAUAAGAUCAAGGAGUUGAUUUAUGGACCAUCUUGCAACAAUGACAUGAUAAUAUCCCAACAACAUUUAUGGGACUACAAAAUUGAAUUUGAUGCACUGGAAUUAUUACCAACAAUAAAUCAAAAUCCAAACAUGUAUAAUUACAUGCAAAAUGUUUAUGAAACUCAUAGUUUUUUCUAAGCUAAAAUAGUUCUUCAUUGAAAUUAGAAAUAAUUGAGAUGUAAAAUUUCAUCUCCUAGUUUAGUAUCUUUAUUUAAGCAUAUUUGUGUUUGUUGUAAGCCUAUUCUUUGAUUUUUAUGAUUAAAUAAGGAGUUCUCUUAGCUCUAUUUCAAUUUUUGAUAAUUAGAAAUAAGUAUUUAUAGAUUUAUGAGUAUACUUUAUUUGAAGGAAAUUGUUUUUCACAGAAUUUUUUUUUUUGUUGAAAAAAAGUUGUCUUUUGUACUUAUUUUUUAAUGUUUGAAAAGUAGAUAAAAAAUAUCGUUCCAAAAGCAAUAACUUGGACAAAUGCUAUGAAUAUUCUAUGAAUGUGAAGCAGGGGUGGGUGGGGGUGGAGGGAGACAAGGGGAUUGUGGGUGAGUUGGGUGUCGAUUUUUUUAUUUUCGAUUAAAUUUCAUAUUUGAACUCCUUAAGUUAUAGGUAACGCAGCCGGAAGGAGGAAGAGUUUUGGGGAUUCCAGUAGCAGUUCUAGAGGUUUUGCGGUGUAGUGGCCAAUCUAGAGCGGUAUAUCAAUUCACGAAAAUUCAAUAACUUUUGCUCAAACUCUCUGUAUAUUAUUAGUUAAAAUAUAUGUACUACACAAAUAUUUAUAAAUAUUUACAGUCCUGCUAUUAUUCUGCAUUGAUAACUUGAGGAGUUAAGGUUAUGUAGGAACCCAACAAAUGACAACAACAUACCUACAAUAGUUUGCAAAGAAUGCAAGAAUAAGAAAAAAUGUUAUAAUGAUAAUAUUAAAGACAAAAAGGUACUAGCAAUAACAAAAAUAGUAGUAAAUAGUAGAGAUAAUCAUAGUAGUAAGAAAUAACAAUAAAAAUAGUAAAGAUCAUCAAAUUAAGAAAUAACAGUAGUAUAAAAUAGAGGAAUAAGAGUCCCUUCAGAGACAUUCAAUAAAAUUGAAACGAUACUAAUAAGAAGAUUAGCAUGCUUCUCUGCUUGGAUGAUACACACAAAUCGAAAAAUGAUCUUCAAAAAAUUAACAAAAAACUAUAGAGAAAUAAGAUAAUGAUAGCAUAAUAAUAAAAUAGAAACUCGCAAAUUUUAAAUUAUACUGAUUAUUUUACUCCUCUCUUAGUUGUUUUAUGAUAUUUGUGGUAUGCCAGAGGCUUUCAGAUGGAUUUCAGAGAUAUUCACCUAGCUAAAUGGAAGCAAUUGCUAGUGGCGUUGAAUAGUUAUCCAGUUUAAGAAAUAGAUUUGCCUGAUGUUGUCUUUUUUUUUUUCCUUAAAUAAGAGUGCUUCUAAAAUUUUGAGGUUUAGUUCCUAGCGUUCAUAUGAACUAGCAGUUGUAAAUAGACUAACUUGGUCGAAUACAAUUUCCCUGUUCCUUCAAAUAGAAUAGAUCUAUGUUUUCUAUUUUAUUGGUGCUCUGACUGAAAUUAACUCUCAGCAUCUUGCACUUUCUGAUUUAUUCUGAGAGAGUAAGCACCUGAUGCUGUUGUUGAAUUUCUCUUGUUAAAUUCGAAACAGUUACUGCUUUGUCAUGUGGAUUUGCUUUCAGGACUAAAGGAUCAAGUUAGUCUCUUCAUAGAGCUUAAUUUGAUGAAAGCUUUUCUUAAGGACGUCUCGUUAGAAGCACAGUGAGUUGCCAAACCCGAUCAGCUUUUGAAGUUGCCGCAAGAAAGUUAGUAGGCCUUCUCUUACUGAUUUUGAAGUUCACUAGGUUUGGUUCAUUUUCUGCGCCAACAUGUUAUCUUAAUUCAUGACUCUUACUGAUUUUGAAGUUCACUAGGUUUGGUUCAUGUUUGCAGCAGAAAAUUAUUUAAGCAAAGAGAAGUCUCCUAAAACUUAAUAUCAUCAGUAGAGACUUAUCGCAGAUUAAAUAGCUUUAUUAACUUUUGUAUAACCGUUACCUGGCAUUCAUCAUGGGGACUGUGUUAUCCUAAUGUAAAUUUUUAAGUUAUGUUAUAAAGAUAUGUUUGUUGUUAUUGUUAAGUAUCCCACAUCGGAAAAAGGAUGGGUAAUAGGUUUCCUUAUAUGGACUUGGAAGAGAUGGAACUCCUGGAUCCUGUUCUUUGGUUGAUUCGUUUCUCACCUUUACUAACUUCAUAUGUUUAACAGUAUUGGAUAUAUGCUUUCAUCCAUUUGAGCAUCUACCAUGUGAAAUAGGGAAAUUAUCUCAACUGAGUUAUCUUGCCCUCGCCAGUUUUAGUGUUCUCCAACCAUCAGUUCGCAAUCUUAGGUGUCUUUGGACACUAAUUCGUUACAGUCACCAGGCUAGUAUUUGUUUGCCGGCAGAGAUAUGGGUGAUUAAACAAUUAAGGCAUCCCUAUUUCAGGAAAUGCUUCUAUUUUCCUAAUGUUCAACCUGAACAAGAAAAUUAUCUGCUCAAGUUAAGUCGCUCUAAUCUUGCAUUAACCAAGCUGCAAGACCGUUAUAAUCUGGGCGAGUGUAGUUGCUCUAGUGUUGCAUUAACCAAUCUAAAGAAGUUAGGAAUUCGUGAAAGUGAAGAAGAAUGCCUGACUGCUGAACAAAUGUCUUGAAAACUCAAGAAACUGGUUCUGUUGGAGCACCUUGAAACAUUUAAGGGUUUCUUUAUCAAACCAUGGAUUCUUAAACAAUGUGAUGUUUUCCCACCAACCCUCAAGAAAUUGACGUUGCGGGGGUGCCAACUGCCAUGGGACCAAAUGACGAUACUGUGCGAGUUACCCAAACUCGAGGUGCUCAAGCUCAAGGAUUAUGCUUUCCAAGGAUCAGAAUGGGAGCCAACUGACGAACGCUUUCAGCAGCUAAAAUUCCUACUGUUGGAUGAGACUGAUCUUAUCCAUUGGAAAGCCAGUUCUUUUCAGUUCCCUAAGCUUGAGUCUUUGUUCUGAAGAAUUGUUAUUGUCUGCAUGAGAUUCCUGAUGAUGUAGCGGAAAUACCUACAUUGCAGUUCAUUGAAUUGUAUCACUAUAGCUCUUCUGCUGACGACUUUGCAAAUAGGUAUAAUGACCCUUUAGGUCAUUUUCCAUAUUUAUGUUUAUCUUUACCGUUUGAGCUUCUCCAUAGCUGCCCCAAGUCAUUUAUGACUUGCUGGGACUGAGGGUUCGAUUACCGGGCAGUUCGUUUGUUUUUUAGAGUUAGCUCCCUGUUUAGAAGUCUUCGUUGGUUCCAAAUGGCCACUGAUCAAAAACUUAAGCGAAACGAUCUUGGAUGAAAAUUUCAACUGUGCCAGCAUAUCCAAAAUAUCCAUUUGAGUCUAGAUAGACCUUUUCGUGUCCCAAUGCACCCAAGCUCAUUUCAACCUAUUAGUCGGAAAAUCAUAAAAUCGAAACUAUAUAUGUGGGCCCCACUUUUUGCCUAAGCGACCUUGUAUGGAAGUUUUGAUGAUUCCAAUGGAUUUGAAUUGUGGUUUACACUCAAAUUUCAUUAUUGGAUCAAAUAUUUUGGGUCCCGGAUGAGUUUCGAGGGUCAAAAAAUCUUUUUAACUUUGCUGUCAUAGGGUACCGCGUCUGUUCGCCGAAGGGGUCUAUAAAUAGGCCCAAGGUCGCGAUUUUGGGAAUUUUUCUGUCACAUUUGAGAACCUAAAACCCUAAAUGGGUAUGAUAACUUGAAAUUUCGUCUUGUGGGUGUCUAGGGAGCUUAGUAAACAUUUUUUAUCAUGAUUAUCAUCCGGAUUAAGGUAAGAUUUCAUAACUUUAUUGGUGAAUUUCCUUGUUCUUGACCCGAAACCCCAAUUUAGCUUAGGGCUUGAUUUAGCUCCUAAUUUCAUUUGUUUGCACCCAUCAAUUGAGGGUUAUGCUUCCUUGGUGAUAGAUGAGCAUUGGGUUGACCUCGGAAACGCGAUUUUCGUAUGUGGGACCCACUUAGGCUUUUUGGUGUCAUUUUUGGACCCGAAGCCCAAUAGUGCAAUAUGGGUAUCGUUAGACUCGUAUUGAUGAGUAGAUUAUAUUUUUGAUAGUGUGAUGGCAUUUUGGGGAUUGUGAAGUGAAGACGAGCAUGUGGUGCUUGAAGUGUGAUUUUGCGGUUUAGCCUUGACGUAGGCUUCUGUCUACUCUUCUUCAUGGAUGAUGUAUGAUAUAUAUUGCGUGUGAAUGUGAAUGUUAAAAUUGAUAUUGGAUAGAAUGACUUAGUAUUGAUUAUACAUAUAAGUAUGGGGAUUAGAUGGGAGAUUUGACCCGAAGGUUGAAUUACUUAAUACCCUUGUAGAAUCCUAUUGCCUUCUCCCUAGCUUGGGUAAAUUUGUAGCAUAGAUAUGAUAUAAUUUUAUGCUCGGAAUAUGGUUUUAGCAUUUGAAGCAUGAUUUGCAUAUUUAGCCUUAUUGGGCUAGUGUGAUAGUUUUGGAACCGUAAGUUUGGUGGAGUUGACUUGAGUACCCUUGUUUCUAGUCGAAGUUACUAUCUUAGGCGUUAAUAUGGCUUGCUUGACAUCUAGAGGAUGAACUAGAUACCUUAGCCUAGUUUGGAGCAUAGUCUGCCUAAUUAUGGAAAUUAUGAAUUAGAAGUGGGAUCAUCUGGCCCACUUAGGCCAAGAUUUGUGUUAGCCCUUGUGGGCUUAGUUGCGGAUAGUAGACCUAGUUGAGGGUAAUGAGCCUUAUUUAUGAGAAUUACUUGGUGAAUUGAUAAAUUGUGAUGAUUUUCGUCAGAUUAUGAUUAGUGGCCCAUAGAGAUGCAUUUUCCUCUUUAUUAUGAUAUUUGGCCCAUAGAGAUGCAUUUUACUCUUAAUUAUGAUAUUUUGCCCAUAGAGAUGCAUUUUCCUCUUUAUUAUGAUAUUUGGCCGAUAGAGAUGUAUUUUCCUCUUUAUUAUGAUAUUUUGCCCAUAGAGAUGCAUUUCCCUCUUUAUUAUGAUAUUUGGCCCAUAGGGAUGCAUUUUCCUCUUAAUUAUGAUAUUUUGCCCAUAGAGAUGCAUUUUCCUCUUUAUUAUGAUAUUUGGCUCAUAGAGAUGCAUUUUUCUUCGAAUUAUGAUAUUUGGCCUAUAGAGAUGCAUUUUUCUCUUAAUUAUGAUAUUUUGCCUAUAGAGAUGCAUUUUCCUCUUAGUCACGAUAUUUGGCCCAUAAAGAUGAUUUUCCUCUUAGUUAUGAUUAUUGAGCUUAUAGAGACGAUUUUCCUCUUGGUCAUGAUACAAAACCUAUAGAUAUGAGAUGGCUAAUAGAGGGGAUAUGGUUGUUGAUAUUAUACCUCCUAGAUGUGAGAUACCUCAUAUAUGUGAGAUGAUUAUAGAUAUGCUACGGUUUAUAAAAUGAUUAUUGAUAUGAGUUCCGGAUAUGUAUAUUGGCCUAAGGCCAUGAUUAUGAUGUGAUUAUUCCGGAUAAAUUAAUGGGCCAAGGGCCGUGUUAUGGUACUGAUUAAAUAUCUAAGAAGUGUUUAUCAUUGUGAAUGAUGUGAUUGCGAUUUAUGAAUAUGAAUAUGUAUAUGUUUGUAUACACAUCUCUCCGGUAUGGGAUGGAGGAAGAUGCGGUAUGAUGCUUAUUAUUUCAUUGAUUGAAUACUGGUGAUGGCAUGCAUAGGUUUGGUACGUUCAUGAUUAUUUACAUUAUAAAAUGAAGUGAUUAUAGCCGAAAUAUGAUCUUAUGGUUUUUCUUCUUGUUAGACGGUUAAGCUAUAUGGUAACUAGUUGUCUAUUAGCUAACUAUUGCGCUUGAUGGCUAGGAAGCUAAUGUAUUAGUUAAUGAAUCUUGCUUAGUUGGAACAUGGUAGCUAAUGAUGGUCAGUUAAUGAAUGAUGUCAUUUAAUAAAAGAUGGUUAGGCGACAAGUAGUAAUGUGUUGUCUAGUAAUGAUUAACAAAAAUAGGAUGAAUAGUUGAUAAUAAUGAAUGGUAGAUAAAUGAUGGUUUUGGUUUAAUGAUGAACCUAGACUAGAUGUUAGAUGUUGACUAUUAAAUGAAUAGUGGUUAGUUGUUACCCCACGAAUAAGGAUUAUGUGAAGGAUAAUGUUUAGGCUAAUAACUAGAGGUUAUGUGAUGACUAGCGAACUAGCGGUUUAAUAAUAAUAAGUGUUGGUUAGCUAAUAACGAUUAGUUGGGAUGUAUUGAUAAGUUAGACAUCUUUAUGGUUAUAAGCAUAUCGGCUCGCGUUUGUGCACCUAUUAUAUGCCUAUAUUUAUGUGUCGAGAGUUAUGAUGAUAUAUUGAUAUUCGGCAAGGCCGGAGGAUAUUAUGAUGAUAUUGAUACCUGGUUCGAGUCCGGAGGAUACUAUUUAGAUGAUAUUGAUACUCGGCAAGGCCGAAAGAUAUUAUGAUGAUAUUGAUAUCCAGUUCGAGUCCGGAAGAUACUAUUGAGAUGAUAUUGAUACCCACAAGGCCGGAGGAUAUUGUGAUAAUAUUGAUACCCGGUUCGAGUCCGGAGGAUACUAUUAAGAUGAUAUUGAUACCCGGUGAGGCCGGAGGUUGAUGACGAUGAUAAUGGUCCUGAUGAAGACAGUUAUGAUGUAUUGUGAUAUUGAUGGUAUAUUUUGCAUUCAUUACUGCAUGCGCAUCGCCUAUCACCAGUAUGCACCUAUGUCUAUCAGCCGGUAUGGGACGGUUGCAUAGAUGUGGGUGAAGAAUAUGUCUUGUGUUAUUGUUUGUUGAUUGAACCUUCCGAGUCUGGGGCGGUGGGGGUACGCAUAGGCUCGGCUAGGUAUUUGGUUAUUCGGAGUAGCCGGUUAUUUACGAUCUUAUUGAUAUUGUUAUUAUCAUGGUUAUGAUCAUUAUUAUGGCUAGCUUAAGACAGAUUGGUCAUGGAUCCGGUAUUGGGAUUGAGGUAUGUCUUCGACCUUUGCUAUCUUAUGAUUACAUUACUAUGCACGAUUAUUCUAUGUCUAGCCAUAUGAAUUAGAAAUCUUGAAUAUGUUGGUAUUGAAUACUGAUAGUAUUAUAAUGAGGUCUUAAAAUGAGAACAUGAUGAUGUAGGUUAUCAUGGUACUAUUGGAUAUCCCUUUCUUUGUUGUUCAUAUUGUAUAGUCGUUCCUUCGCCUUGUAUAUUACAAUAUAUCUUUAUUUUGCUCUUUAUCUGUAUAUUGACCUAGGAUAUACGAUAUAGCUUUGGCAUUUAUUAAAUGUAGCUGGAAUAAGAUAGUACUCCCUGAUACUUCCUUAGUCUUAUUAUGUUAGACUCUUGGACAUGAAUAGGAUAGUUGUCCCUUGUUAUUCUCAUUGACUUAUUACAUGAUUUAUGGACUCUUGGUUGUAGUUUCCAUUCUGUUUAUAUGUUGUAUAUAUCUACUUUAUCUUUGGAGCUCAGUUGGCAGUUGCCUACGGAGUACCAUUCGUUUGGUACUCAUACUACACCUCUGCAGCCUGUAGAUCAUAGUACGAGUUAUUGCUGUUGAUGUGUGCAUCGUGUGGAGUAGCCCUGAUUCGGAGACUUAGAGUGAGCUCCUGACGUUCGGAGUAUUACUUAUCUCUCUCCUAUGUAUUAGACUAGCCUCUAAGUUGUAUUCAGAGGUAAGUUAAAUCAGUGUAUUUCUUCUUGAUAUAUCACUUUUGUACUCUUAUUAUGUUUAGAAGCUCUUGUACUGAUACCACCAGGUUUCAGGAUUCACCUAUGUAUUGAUCUUUGUCUCAUAUAUUCCGCAUUCUUUUUCUUAUGUUAUUAAGUAGUCCGUUACUAGCUGUUCCGGACUACAGGUUGGCUUGUCUACUGGUGGGUUAUGGUAGGCGCCAUCAUGACAUGAAAAGUUGGGUUGUGACAAAUUGGUAUCAGAGACUAGGUUUCUUCGGUGUAUUAGUACAAGAGCUAAGUGUUUGUAGAGUCCUGCGGAUCGGUGCGGAGACGUUCGUAACCUAUCUUCGGGAGGCUACAGUGACAUUUUAGGAAAUUUACUUCAUGACUCCUUAUCGUGUGUCUCCAUUCCUAUGAACCUUGAACAUAUUCUUUGACUCUAUUCUAUUCCCGAAGGACUAUGCGAUAUUGUCGAUGGAUGCGGAUGAGAUUCCAACAUGCAUUUUCAGAAUUUUUGCGCAGUAUCAAACUAAUGAGUCAAAGAUGGAUAUUGAAGAUCUGCAGCGGUAGCUAAAAAGGAUUUGGGUUGAGUCCCUGUUAGACUUGCGGAGUGUGGUAUAGUUUUUCGGGCCAUGGUGACCAUUCUGGAUUAUGAGGGGUAGUAUUUCAAAGUAUUUUAGAUUCUUGGUUUGGUUGUGUUGUGAUGGGACACUGGUUCAGAAAAUGCCCUUGGUAUGCGAUAGGUGGUCAGAUAGAGUUAGCCUGUCUUCCUCGCUAGCCUAGAGUUCCUAAGACAGACUAUGAUUUUUGAAGUUUGGACAUGAAUUUACGGAUUUCUCCCGACGUUGGUUGGCCAUCCAUUUGAGCUCAGUUUGUGUCCUCGCCAUGUUGAUGCUCCAGGAAUUGCUAUGAGAAUAGGAUGAUCGACUACUAGUAUAGAGUGUCUUCGACAUGGGAGUUUCAGUUAUUCAGCUCAUUCCGAUCAGCCUCGUGAUGUUGUGGCAUCUUCAGUUAUAGAUGGUGCGUUUGACGACUCAGUUGAUGAUUCAGUCGGUCGGUCUGAGUUAAGCCCGUUCAGAUUUAUUUUUCUUAUGCCCAUCAGGCAUGUGAUUGCGGAUGUCGCCACGACUGGUGUGCUUUUAUUCUCGCCUUUUUCUCUUAUUAUGUGUAUUGGGAUUUUCAUACCCAUUGAUAAUUAUAUGCCUUGAUGAAUUUAUAUCGGUCAUUGUGUGCCUUAUUGUUGAAUUCAUAAUUAUAUUACUACUUCAUGGUUUAUUUCUUUUAGUAGUGGAUGGAGUAGAUCUAUAUUGAUGUUUCUUCCCUAUGGGUGUGCUUUGGGUUCGAGUCCUAUUUGUCUUGGCACAUUAGUCCUGUUGUGGCCCUUGAGUGGUACAUAAUAUUGAUGUUCAUUUUGGUACCACCUAUCGAGUAUAUUGAUUUUGAUAUUGUUGUUGCUAUUGCUACCAUUGCAUGAGGGUACUGAUAUUACUUGAUAUUAUCACUUGAUGUUGUUAUUUAUAAUUGAUUCUUGCUGGGUAGCUGUAUAGACUAGUGUUAUCUAGUUAGACUCUCAUUUUCUUGUGCUAUUAUUUGGUGGCUUGAGUAGAUAUAGCCCGAUUUGAUGAUUUCUUUCCCCUAGCAUGGCGAGGUUGAUUGUGUUCCCUCUUGGUUAGCUAUAUUAGAUUGAUUCGGGGAUGUAUUGUGAUAUCGAAAAGGCAAGUUAAUCACCUUAGAGUUGGAAAUGUAGUUGCAUUGCCUAUUAUUGAGUAUGAUAUCCUUAGACUUGCUUUCUGGGUUGCGAAGGUUUUCUCCUUGGCUAUUCUUUUAGAUAUAGCCGUUUAUGAGAUUGACCAGUUUGAGGUCCGCUAUUCAUUUAUGGCUAUUUCUUUAUCUGAUAGCGAUUUGAUGUUGAUGUUGAGAUGUCAUGGAUUCAUCUCAUAUGUAAGUUGGUUCGCUCUCUUGUGAUGGAUUGCCUUGUUGUUAGUGUGGAGAUUGGAUACUCUUUUGUCGUUGUGAUAUGGUUUUGUCUAGAGAAGAUGAAAGAUAGAGGCAGGUGGCCUUUCCUGUGAUCGCUUCUAAAGUUGGGAAAUUAGAAACUCUGUAGCUUGAGUUGUUGGUACUCUAGUGGUUGUUUCGACUUUGACCUUGACUUUGAGAUUGUUAUUUCUUCUUUGAUGAUGUGGUUCUUGGGUGGAUUCAGGAAAUUCCUAUUUCAGUAUUUGUUUGGCCUAGUAAGGCUUGGUGGACUAAUUCUCCUCGAUGAUAUGUGUUUAGGGCUAUUUCUUUGCCUAGAUGGGGUAUCGUAUUGGUUCAGUUUUGACUUGGCGCUUUGGAAUAACGAUUGGGAAGUAUGAUAAAUUUGUAUUAUUAGUGCCUACCCAUUCUUAGUUUUGUUUAGAUAUUUGAGACGUAGCGAUUCAGCCUUGGUAUUGAGAUUUCAGCUUGGUGUUGUUGAGCUUGCGUGGAGCUUCUAUUUUAGAGUUGUCUUCGUUCAGAUUUCAUUUAUAGGCUGGUUGAGCCUACUCUAUGUUUUCUAUUCGGUUUUCUUGACAUCGGUUGGAUUAUAGUUGAUAAGUGUUCAGAUGAUAGCUCAUGGGCCCCAUAUUGGUUAUAUCAGUUUUGACCUCUAGAUUCAAUUUUCUUUAGGAAUUUUGGAUGCUUUACUCAAUGAGAGUAAUAUACUUGAGUUGGUAUCAAUGUGUUGUGGUUCAGAUUUGCGUGCGUCAGUCUUUUCAGUUCAGUUGGAGGCCAUUUAGCGGUUGAAGUUGAGGUUUGGUUGUUUGGGAAGUAAAGUGAGGGUGCAGGUUGAAAAAGGGAUACCUGUGGUGAAAUCUCUUGGAAGUGUUCUCUCCUCGUGGAGGUUACCUGGGAAGUCAUUCUUGGAGCAUGUGGGCCCAGUACCUCAUCACUUCGAGCCUUUGAGAUUCUUUCUAUUCGUUGACUUUCGAGGACGAAAGUCCUUUUAGUAGUGGAUAUUGUAAUGACCCUUCAGGUCAUUUUUCAUAUUUAUGCUUAUCUUCACCGUUUGAGCGUCUCCAUAGCUGUCCCAAGUCAUUUAUGACUUGCUGGGACUGAGGGUUCGGUUACCGGGCAAUUCGUUUGGUUUUUAGAGUCAACUCCCUGUAGAGAAGUCUUCGUUGGUUCCAAAUGGCCACCGAUCAAAAACUUCAGCGAAAUGAUCUCGGAUGAAAAUUUCAACUGCGCCAGCAUAUCCGAAUAUCCAUUUUAGUCUAGGUAGACUUUUGGUUCGGGUCCCAAUGCACCCGAGCUCAUUUCGACCUAUUAGUUGGAAAGUCAUAAAAUUGAAACUAUUUAUGUGGACCCCACUUUUUUCCUAAAUGACCUUGUAUGGAAGUUUUGAUGAUUCCAAUGGAUUUGAAUUGUGGUUUACACUCAAAUUUCACUAUUGGAUCAUAUAUUUUGAGUCCCGGAUGAGUUCCGAGGGUCAAAAAUUUUUUUUUGACUUUGCUGUCGUAGGGUACCGCAUCUUUCGCCGAAGGGGUCUAUAAAUAGACCCAAGGUCGCGAUUUUGGGGAUUUUUCUGUCACAUUUGAGAACCUAAAACCCUAAAUGGGCAUGAUAACUUGAAAUUUAGUCUUGUGGGUGUCUAGGGAGCUUGGUAAACAUCUUUUAUUAUGAUUAUCAUCCGGAUUAAGGUAAGAUUUCAUUACUUUAUUGGUGCAUUUCAUUAUUCUUGACCCAAAACCCCAAUUUAGCUUAGGGCUCGAUUUAGCCCCAAAUUUCAUUUGUUUGCACCCAUCAAUUGAGGGUUAUGCUUCCUUGGUGAUAGAUGAGCAUUGGGUUGACCUCGGAAACACGAUUUUCGUAUGUGGGACCCACUUGGGCUUUUUGGUGUCAUUUUUGAACACGAAGCACAAUAGUGCAAUAUGGGUAUCGUUCUUCUCGUAUUGAUGAGUAAAUUAUAUUUUUGAUAGUGUGAUGACAUUUUGGGGAUUGUGAAGUGAAGACGAGCAUGUGGUGCUUGAAGUGUGAUUUUGCAGUUUAGCCUUGAAGUAGGCUUCUGUCUACUCUUCUUCAUGGAUGAUGUAUGAUAUAUAUUGCGUGUGAAUGUGAAUGUUAAGAUUGAUAUUGGAUAGAAUGACUUAGUAUUGAUUAUACAUAUAAGUAUGGGGAUUAGAUGGGGGUUUUGACCCGUAGGUUGAAUUACUUAAUACCCUUGUAGAAUCCUAUUGCCUUCUCCCUAGCUUGGAUAAAUUUGUAGCAUGGAUAUGAUAUAAUGUUAUGCUCGAAAUAUGGUUUUAACAUUUGAAGCAUGAUUUGUAUAUUUAGCCUUAUUGGGCUAGUGUGAUAGUUUUGGAACCUUAAGUUUGGUAGAGUUGACUUGAGUACCCUUGUUUCUAGUCGAAGUUACUAUCUUAGGCGUUAAUAUGGCUUUUUUGUUAACAUUUGAAGCAUGAUUUGUAUAUUUAGCCUUAUUGGGCUAGUGUGAUAGUUUUGGAACCUUAAGUUUGGUAGAGUUGACUUGAGUACCCUUGUUUCUAGUCGAAGUUACUAUCUUAGGCGUUAAUAUGGCUUGCUUGACAUCUAGAGGAUGAACUAGAUACCUUAGCCUAGUUUGGAGCAUAAUAUGCCUAAUUAUGAAAAUUAUGGAUUAGAAGUGGGAUCAUCUGGCCCACUUAGGCCAAGAUUUGUGUUAGCCCUUGUGGGCUUAGUUGCGGAUAGUAGUAAUGAACCUUAUUUAUGAGAAUUACUUGGUGAAUUGAUAAAUUGUGAUGAUUUUCGUCGAAUUAUGAUUAGUGGCCCAUAGAGAUGCAUUUUUCUCUUUAUUAUGAUAUUUGGCCCAUAGAGAUGCAUUUUACUCUUAAUUAUGAUAUUUUUCCCAUAGAGAUGCAUUUUCCUCUUUAUUAUGAUAUUUGGCCAAUAGGGAUGCAUUUUCCUCUUUAUUAUGAUAUUUUGCGCAUAGAGAUGCAUUUUCCUCUUUAUUAUGAUAUUUGGCCUAUAGGGAUGCAUUUUCCUCUUAAUUGUGAUAUUUUGCCCAUAGAGAUGCAUUUUCCUCUUAAUUAUGAUAUUUUACCCAUAGAGAUGCAUUUUCCUCUUUAUUAUGAUUAGUGGCCCAUAAAGAUGCAUUUUCCUCUUUAUUAUGAUAUUUAGUCCAUAGAGAUGCAUUUUCUUCGUAAUUAUGAUAUUUUGUCCGUAGAGAUGCAUUUUCCUCUUUAUUACGAUAUUUGGCCCAUAGAGAUGAUUUUCCUCUUAGUUAUGAUUAUUGAGCUUAUAGAGACGAUUUUUCUCUUGGUCAUGAUGCAAAACCUAUAGAUAUGAGAUGUCUAAUAGAGGCGAUAUGCUUGUUGAUAUUAUGCCUCCUAGAUGUGAGAUGCCUCCUAUAUGUGAGAUGAUUAUAGAUAUGCUACGGUUUAUAAAUAUGAUUAUUGAUAUAAGUCCCGGAUAUGUAUAUGGGCCUAAGGCCAUGAUUAUGAUGUUGUGAUUAUUCUGGAUAAAUUAAUGGGCUAAGGGCCGUGUUAUGGUACUGAUUAAAUAUCUAAGAAGUGUUUAUCAUUGUGAAUGAUGUGAUUGUAAUUUAUGAAUAUGAAUAUGUAUAUGUUUGUAUACACAUCUCUUUGGUAUGGGAUUGUGGAAGAUGCGGUAUGGUGCUUAUUAUUCCAUUGAUUGAAUACUGGUGAUGGCAUGCAUAGAUUUGGUACUUUAUGAUUAUUUACCAUUAUAAAUGAUGUGAUUAUAGCUGAAAUAUGAUCUUAUGUUUUUUCUUCUUGUUAGACGGUUAAGCUAUGUGGUAACUAGUUGUCUAUUAGCUAACUAUUNNNNNNNNNNNNNNNNNNNNNNNNNNNNNNNNNNNNNNNNNNNNNNNNNNNNNNNNNNNAGUUAAUGAAUGAUGUCAUUUAAUAAAAGAUGGUUAGGCGACGAGUAGUAAUGUGUUGUCUAGUAAUGAUUAACAAAAAUAGGAUGAAUAGUUGAUAAUAAUGAAUGGUAGAUAAAUGACGGUUUUGGUCUAAUAAUGAACCUAGACUAGAUGUUAGAUGUUGACUAUUAAAUGAAUAGUGGUUAGUUGUUAUCCCGUGAAUAAGGAGAAGGAUAAUGUUUAGGCUAAUAACUAGAGGUUAUGUGAUAACUAGCGAACUAGCGGUUUAAUAAUAAUAAGUGUUGGUUAGCUAAUAAUGAUUAGUUGGGAUGUAUUGAUAAGUUAGACAUCUUUACGGUUAUGAGUAUAUCGGCUUGCGUCUGUGCACCUAUUAUAUGCCUAUAUUUAUGUGUCGAGAGUUAUGAUGAUACAUUGAUAUCCGACAAGGUCGGAGGAUAUUAUGAUGAUAUUGAUACCCGGUUCGAGUCCGGGGGAUACUAUUGAGAUGAUAUUGAUAACCGGCAAGGCCGAAAAAUAUUAUGAUGUUAUUGAUACCCGGUUCGAGUUCGGAGGAUAAUAUUGAGAUGAUAUUGAUACUCGGCAAGGCCGGAGGAUAGUAUGAUGAUAUUGAUAUCCGGUUUGAAUCCAGAGGAUACUAUUGAGAUGAUAUUGAUACCCGGCAAGGCCGGAGGAUAUUGUGAUAAUAUUGAUACCCGGUUCAAGUCCGGAGGAUACUAUUGAGAUGAUAUUGAUACCCGGUGAGACCGAAGGUUGAUGACGAUGAUGAUGGUCCUGAUGAAGACAGGUAUGAUUCAUUGUUAUAUUGAUGGUAUAUUUUGCAUUCAUUCCUGCAUGUGCAUCGCCUAUCACCAGUAUGAAUCUAUGUCUAUCAGCCGGUAUGGGACGGUUGCAUAGAUAUGGGUGAAGAAUAUGUCUUGUGUUGUUGUUUGUUGAUUGAACCUUCCGAGUCUGGGGCGGUGGAGUACGCAUAGGCUCGGCUAGGUAUUUGGUUGUUCGGAGUAGCCGAUUAUUUACGAUGUUAUUAAUAUUGUUAUUAUCAUGGUUAUGAUCAUUAUUAUGGCUAGCUUAUGACAGAUUGGUCAUGGAUCCGGUAUUGGGAUUGAGGUAUGUCUUCGACCUUUGCUAUCUUAUGAUUACAUUACUAUGCACGAUUAUUCUAUGUCNNNNNNNNNNNNNNNNNNNNNNNNNNNNNNNNNNNNNNNNNNNNNNNNNNNNNNNNNNNNNNNNNNNNNNNNNNNNNNNNNNNNNNNNNNNNNNNNNNNNNNNNNNNNNNNNNNNNNNNNNNNNNNNNNNNNNNNNNNNNNNNNNNNNNNNNNNNNNNNNNNNNNNNNNNNNNNNNNNNNNNNNNNNNAUAUAUAUAUAUAGCUUUAUGAAGUCAUGAUACUAUCGGAUAUCCCUUUCUUCGUUGUUCAUAUUGUAUAGUUGUUUCUUCGCCUUGUAUAUUACUAUAUAUCUUUAUUUUGGUCUUUAUCUGUAUAUUGACCUGGGAUAUACGGUAUAGCUUUGGCAUAUAUUGAAUGUAGCUGGAAUAAGAUAGUACACCUUGAUAUUUCCUUAGUCUUAUUAUGUUAGAUUCUUGGACAUGAAUAGGAUAGUUGUCCCUUGUUAUUUUCAUUGACUUAUUACAUGAUUUAUGGACUCUUGGUUGUAGUUUUCAUUCUGUUUAUAUGUUGUAUAUAUCUACUUUAUUUUUGGAGCUCAGUUGGCAGUUGCCUACUGAGUACCAUUCGUUUGGUACUCAUACUACACCUCUGCAGCCUGCAGAUUAUAGUACGAGUUAUCGCUGUUGAUGUGUGCAUCGUGUGGAGUAGCCCUGAUUCGGAAACUUAGAAUGAGCUCCUGACGUUCGGAAUAUUACUUAUCUCUCUCCUAUGUAUUAGACUAGCCUUUAAGUUGAUCAGUGUGUUUCUCCUUGAUAUAUCACUUUUGUACUCUUAUUAUGUUUAGAAGCUCUUUGCCUGAUACCAUCAGGUUUCGGGAUUCACCUAUGUAUUGAUCUUUUUCUCAUAUAUUCCGCAUUCUUUUUUUUAUGUUAUUUAGUAGUCUGUUACUAGCCGUUCCGGACUACAGGUUGGUUUGCCUACUGGUGGGUUAUGAUAGGCGCCAUCAUGACCUGAAAAGUUGGGUUGUGACAAUAGGAUUCAAGAAGAACAACAUAGCAUAGGAAAUGAUGAUCUUGUGGUGCGGAUCCACAAAUUUUACAACUGUGAGUUUUACAUGCACUCAUUAAAUUUUCUUUCAUGCAAAGAUCAAUAGAUACCGUACUGCAGUAACUCUUUUGUUCUAUUUGUGUUGCAGCUGAACCUUAAGGCCAGCGUUCGUUUGAUAUUUGGCCGGCCCCCUCGAUAAGCAAAGAGGCUAAUGCAGAGGUUUUAACUUGUUAAACUUCUAGUUCUUUUGUGAAUGCUGACAUUGAGAGUUAUAUAGGUUGCAUUGAUGAUACGAAAGCUUUUUUUGCCAGGAAAGUUUAGCUUUCCCCAGGAAUAGUUCAUCAACUUGGCUAGCAAUUCAGCAAAGGCUAGCAACAGUCGACAAAUUAUCCAGAUGGGGAGCUCCGAUAGCCAAAGACUGUACUUUGUGACACUGGAUUGGAGGAAUCAUUUGCUCACCUCUUCUUUGAUUGCAUAUGCCUUAGCUCAAUCUGGAAGGUUUUAUUGAAGUGGUUAGGUGUUACACGACAUUCCACAUGCUGGGAAACUGAAAUUACAUGGUUGACACAAAGAGCGAAGACUAUAAGACCAAAAGCUGAGAUUCUGAGGUUCCUAAUUCAACGCAACAGUGUACCAUGUCUGGUUGGAAGAAAUACCAGAAGACUCCAAGAAGUUCAGUGAGUGUGUUCAUACAGAUUGAAGGAGCUAGUAGUUCAGCUAGCUAUCAAAGGGAUUCAGCUAGCUAAAUGGAAGCAAUUGCUAGCGGCAUUGAAUAGAUAUCCAGUCUGAGAAAUAGGUUUUCCUGAUGUUGUUUUUUUCUUUUUUUUUUUCCUAGACUAGGAGUGCUUCUAAAAUUUGUGAGGUCUGGUUCCUGGCAUACAUAUGGACUAGGAGUUAUAAAUAGACUAACUUUGUUGAAUACAACUUUCCCUGUUCUUACAAAUAGAAUAAAUCUGUGUUAUUUGUAUGAUUGGUGCUCUGACUGAAAUUAGCUCAGAUUUCUUCAGUGGGAGUGAGCACUUUAUCAAGAGAUGGCUAAUGCUGUUGUCGCAUUUCUGUUGUUAAAUUUGAAACAGCUACUCCUUUAUCAUGUGGAUUUGUUUUCAGGAGUAAAGGAUCAAGCUGAGUCUCUUCAUAGAGAGCUUGGUUUGAUGAAAGCUUUCCUAAGGACUCUCAGGAGAAGUGCAGUGAGUUGCCAAAUUGCGUCAGCUUUUGAAGUUGCUGGCAAGACAGUUAGUGGGCCUACUCAUACUGAUUUUUGAAGUUGACUAGGUCGUUUGGUUCAUUUUCUGCGUCAACACGUUAUCAUUAUUCACAGCUCUUUCUUUUAUAAUUUUCAUGCAUCAUGUUUGCCGCAGAAAAUUAUAUAAGCAAAGAGAAAUUCUCCUAAAGCUUAAUGUCAUCAGUAAAAACUUAUCGCAAAUUAACUAGUUUUAUUAACUUAUAUAAAACAGUUCUAUGGCCUGUGUUUCAUCAUGCAGAUUGUGCUAUCCUAAUGUAGAAAUUUAAAUUAUGCUUUAACGUUUACUUUUGCUAGGCUACCCAAGUUAUUUUGUAGGAAUAGGAAAGUAUUGAAAACCUUUUAUCCUCUUACAGGGCGUGACCCCCCCUCAAAUUCCUCCCACCCUGUAGAAUUACCCAAAAACAAGAUAAAAUAGACUGAAAUUAACUAAAACUAUUUCUUUUUCCCAGAGAUAACAGAAGGUUUCUGAUAAUUUCACCUGAUAAAUUUUUAACCAGGCUAAGGUUGGAAUUACUAUGAUGAAAUUCUGGAUUAGAUGAUUAGUAACAGUUAGUGUUAACCAGUGUUUCUAAAAUUGCAAAGUGCAAAGAAGCGACUAGAUCCACGGUGCUUGAUGCAAAAAGUGACAAGUGAAGCGCAUUACCUGUUGGAAAAAGUAUCAUACUCAUACAGAUACAAAUUAAUUUAUCAAAUUCCAAUAAAUAACUAAUUUCAAUUCUUGAUCUGUCUUAAAUUGCAUGCGAACAUUGUAUUUAAGUUUGUGAUAGGAUAGCUUUUCCUUUUUAUCAUAUUUGCAUGCAAUUUUGCCUUGACGUAUCCUUUGAUAUGGUGCACAUGGAUGAAGCAGGAUAGGCAGUGGCAGAGAAUGGAUUUUCACAAGGGGGUUCAUCAUCUGCUUUAUAUGCAUAAAAAAGAUUUUAACCUUGUAUAUACAGUACAAUUAUAUAUGCAAUGCAAUUUUCCGUGACAGUGGGUUCAGAUGAAUCCCUUCCACCCCUCUAGCUCCGCCUUAGGAUCGGGCUGAACAUCCUCUCAAACUUGCUACUCACUGCUCUUUUCCUAGUUGUAUGUACUUUGUUUUCUUACUGUUUCCAUAUUUUUGAUGAUGCCAUCAAUAUUCACAACAAGGUACAAAACAAAAAAAAUAUAGAGGGAAAAAAAAGUUAAACAACGUCAAUAAAUUUCUAGGGAGACUAUUGAUGGACCUAAGUUGGGGAUCUAUCAUAAACAACCUCUCUACUUCAUCUGAGUUAGUGUUAUGGUCUGGGUAUACUCUACCCUCCCCAAAUCCCAUCUUGUGGGAAUACACUUGGUAUUUUGUUGUACUGUUGAUGGACCUCUUUUACUAUGUAUGUACAAGUUGAAGAUCAUGUUCUUUCCUAAAUUUUGAAUCAAAGGUUUAAUUGUUCUUAUUCCUAAACUCUUGUGCAGUAGACAUUCCUCCUUCCCUCUUAUUUAGCGUGUGUGUAGAAAUCACUGCAUAAUUACUAGACUAAACAUCCUUGUAAUUACAUACUCCCUCCUGUUGAUUGUCUGGUUUUGACUUGGCAAGGAGUUUAAGAAGGUAAAGAAGACUUUAAAAUCUUGUGGUCUUAAACUAAAAAUAGGUAAAAAUGUAUCAAAAUAUCCUUUAAUCUUAUGGUCUCACACAUGCCAUGUAGAAAGCUGGAAUUAAAGAGUUGCCAAAAAAUGAAAGAGACAUUCUUUUUGAAACGGACUAAAAAGGAAAGUAACAAAAACAAAUUGAAAUGGUGGGAGUAGUUUAGUAGUUAUAGAGAUAUAUUUGUUUGUCAUAAUAUAAUUACAGUGUAACUUUUAGCAUCACGUAGUUAAAAAAGAAAUUAUAAAAAAUAAAGUAAACCUUUUUUCAGAUGAAUAAGUAUAUUCUUUUUGGAGAAAAGAAAGCGAAAGCAAAAGCAAAAGAACAAGAAAAGAUAGAAAGGCAUGUAUAGUGUUGCUCAAGUCAAAAGAUGAGGAAUUUUAUAUUGUGUGGCCUGCUUAAAAUUGACAAGUUGAAAGUGACAGAACAAUUAUUGAUCAUUUCUUUUAUCAUUUCCCUUCAUCUUCUUCCCACUUCUCUUACUGCUGGUUCUUCACAACAUUAUUUUUGCUCUGCUAACACUUCUACAAAUUCCUAGUAAUUUUUUAUUCCACUUCAUUACAGCUUCCACUUGGUGUUUCAUUAGUGGUCUUCUUCAGCUCAGUGGCUGGUAUGUUUAUAUUUGCAACUCUGAAUAUAUAUAUUUAUAUGUUAUUUUCUUUGUCUAUCAGAAACAAUUUCUCUCUCCCACAAAGGUAGGCCCACCCUCCCAAGACCCCCACAUGUGGGACUGUACUAGGUAUGUUGUUGAUUGUUGUUUUCUCUGUUGCUAUUUCCGAAGUGUUUGGAUAUUUUUUGACUCAUAUAAUAUUGGUUGCUUGCUGUUUUGGUUUUUUUCUCCGGAGAAAGCCUCUCUACCUCCACGAGGUAGAGGUGGAGGUAGAGAUAAGGUCUGUGUACACUCUACCUCGCCAGAUCUUACUUAUGGGAUUUUACUCAGUACGUUAUUUCUGUUUUGGGUUUUAAAAAAGUAUGGUCAUCCUUUGGAAUAUAAAAUCUCAUAAUCAUGUGAGCUUUUGGAUGAAGCUUUUGCGUUCUGCUUAAGAAAUGUUUUGAAGCAAUCAUAUAUAUGUAUUUGGAUUUGGUUUUGGUUUGAAUUUGGAGAGCUGAUUGAUCUGUGAAAAAGUUUUGGAAACAAUUUCAGAGAACAUUUGCUUUAGGUACUUUUUACUUUGGUAUCUUUCCCACUCGUGGGAUUAUACUGGCUAUGUUGUUGUUCUUGCUCUAGGUAUUUUAGGUAUUUUUUCAAACACCCGAGUUCAUUUUGUUAUUUAUUUUCAGAAAAGCAUUUUUGAUUUAAUUUCCUACAAUCGAAUCUAUUUCUUUAUCUAACACCGUUUAUUUUUGUUUUGAAAUGUAUCUCUUUUUCUUCCCCAUAUUUUUCUAAUCAAAGGGGCUGGUGCUACUAAUAAAUGAAAAACAAAUAUAUAACAUGUGGGACUGUACUAGGUAUGUUGUUGAUUGUUGUUUUCUCUGUUGCUAUUUCCGAAGUGUUUGGAUAUUUUUUGACUCAUAUAAUAUUGGUUGCUUGCUGUUUUGGUUUUUUUCUCCGGAGAAAGCCUCUCUACCUCCACGAGGUAGAGGUGGAGGUAGAGAUAAGGUCUGUGUACACUCUACCUCGCCAGAUCUUACUUAUGGGAUUUUACUCAGUACGUUAUUUCUGUUUUGGGUUUUAAAAAAGUAUGGUCAUCCUUUGGAAUAUAAAAUCUCAUAAUCAUGUGAGCUUUUGGAUGAAGCUUUUGCGUUCUGCUUAAGAAAUGUUUUGAAGCAAUCAUAUAUAUGUAUUUGGAUUUGGUUUUGGUUUGAAUUUGGAGAGCUGAUUGAUCUGUGAAAAAGUUUUGGAAACAAUUUCAGAGAACAUUUGCUUUAGGUACUUUUUACUUUGGUAUCUUUCCCACUCGUGGGAUUAUACUGGCUAUGUUGUUGUUCUUGCUCUAGGUAUUUUAGGUAUUUUUUCAAACACCCGAGUUCAUUUUGUUAUUUAUUUUCAGAAAAGCAUUUUUGAUUUAAUUUCCUACAAUCGAAUCUAUUUCUUUAUCUAACACCGUUUAUUUUUGUUUUGAAAUGUAUCUCUUUUUCUUCCCCAUAUUUUUCUAAUCAAAGGGGCUGGUGCUACUAAUAAAUGAAAAACAAAUAUAUAGUCACAAAGAGAAGAUACCUGUAGAACGUGGGCAGCAUCAAGUGUGGUAAGAUGACGGAUAUCUUUCUACCCUUAACAAAAGGUCUCAAAUUCGAAGAGGUUUCAGGUUCUAGUCUUGAUAAUGGAUAAACUCCUGGUAUAGGGCUUUCGCCUUUAGUGUCACUACACGUCCAAAGACGGAUCCAGGAUUUUGAACAUAAAUUUGAGUUAGUUAAACCAGUGAGUUUCAGAUACCCAGUCAAACGCGUCAAAAAAUUCAAGGUUAAGCAUAGCUUUAGAAGUUAGUAACAAAUGGCUCUAAUUUACCUUUUCUUUUUUUUUUUUUUAAAUAAAAAUAAAAAACUCUUUUGUCUUUAUUCAUUCCUUUUUUUUUAAAAAAAAGAAAAAGUUCUGUAUUGUUUCUUUUGCUUUUAGUUGCGUCAAUUUCGCAGAGUUGGACUGUGGACUUGCCCCCCUGUGUGUAAUUGUAUCAGUGCAAAUAUUUAGCUCUUGGCAUCAUAAAUAUACUGACGUUACGCAAGUUAAUAUCCAAUUUCUUUCUUCCUUUUUCCUUCGGUUUUCUCUAACAAAAUCAGUUUAAAUGGAACAUUUGCAGGGUCAAUUUAAGCACAACUUAGAAUAAUCUCAUACAAACUAAAAAAUCAAUCUGCGGGAGGGAAGAAGAGGAAAUGGCUCAUGCUGCUGUCGUAUCUCUUCAACAAAAACUGCAGGAAAUGCUGGAAGGUGACAAUUCUUGUUACCGUGAAAUACGUCAAGCAGUCAGUUCCUGGCAUGCUUUUUUGGAGGACUCUUUGUCGGUUACAAGUGCUCCCGAAGCAGUGGAUUAUUUGGAAAAGCGGCUUAAAUAUUUGGCAACUCAACUUCUAGAUAGUAUCAACUUAUAUGAAUUGAAAAGGAGAUCAGGUUGCUAUCCUCAAAGUUGGAAAGUGUUCCAGAGAGAAUUCAUGACAGCAGGUUCCGAUAGCAUAAAGGAAUAUUUGAAGAAGGUUAUGAAUGCUCGGAAUGAUAUUGAUGCUCUGCCAAUAUCGGAUACUGUGGAGAGUAAUUCAGAAUACAGUCCCAGUCUCCAAGCUACUGUGCUAGAACUUGAUGAUGACUUAAUGACCAUUAAAUCUCGACUUAUAGGACCUCCUUCAAAGCUAGAUGUCAUCUCAAUUGUUGGCAUGGGAGGAAUUGGCAAAACGACUCUUGCUAGACAAGUUUAUGAUGAUAUUUACAUGGAGCAUCACUUCUACAUUCGCGCUUGGAUUACCGUAUCUCAAAUGCAUCAACAUAGAGAAAUGUUGUUGGGCAUUUUGCGGUGUUUUUCACUUGUCAAUGACAACACCUAUCUAAAGAGUACUGAGCAAUUAGCCGAGCAAGUUUAUAGAAGUUUGAAGGGAAGGAGAUAUCUCAUUGCAAUGGAUGAUGUGUGGGACACCAGUGCAUGGGAUGUUGUGAAAAGAUCUUUUCCAGAUGAUAAAAAUGGAAGCCGUGUCAUACUUACUAGUCGGCUAGCAAAUGUGGGUAUCUAUGCUAGCUCAGGCAGCCCUCAUUAUAUGCAGUGCUUAAGUGUGGAAGAGAGCUUGAAGUUGUUCAACUUAAAGGCAUUUGGAAGGGAGACUUGCCCCCUUGAGCUGGAGAAAGCUACAAAGCAAAUAGUCGAGAAAUGUCAAGGACUACCACUAGCAAUCGUUGUGGUGGCUGGAUUUUGUUCCAAGAUAAGCAAGACAGAAAACUGUUGGGAAGAUGUAGCACAUAAAAUUGGUAUGGUUGUGAGUAGGGGCACAGAAGAAUGCCUGGACUUACUCACCUUGAGUUAUAACCAUUUGCCACAUCACCUGAAGCCAUGCUUCCUGUAUAUGGGAGCUUUUCCAAAAGACUUUGAGAUUAGUGUUUCAAGACUAAUCAAGCUAUGGAUUGCUGCGGAAUAUGUAAGAUGCAAACCUAAAAAGGACUUCGAAGAAGUUGCUGACGGAUACCUAAGAGAUCUUAUAGAUAGAAGUCUAAUUAUGGUUAAGAGAAGGACCUCAAGUGGCAAGGUCAAAACAUGCGAAGUUCAUGAUCUACUGCAUGAUUUAAUCCUAAGAGUAGCAUGGAAAGAGAGAUCGAUCUACUUUGCUAAAUCUAAUGUGAUUGUUUAUCAACCAGUGGCAUCUUUUGAACAUCGCAUCAUUUUCUAUUUUCCCAAUGUUUGUGAUAAAUCUUCACUUCCUCGUGCAAGUUCCUAUCUUUGUUUUGGAAGAGAUGGAACUCCUGGAUCCUGUUCUCAGGUUGAUUCGUUUCUCACCUUUACCAACUUCACAUGUUUAACAGUAUUGGAUAUGUGUUUUCAGCCAUUUGACCAUCUACCGUCAGAAAUAUGGGAAUUAUCUCAACUGAGGUAUCUUGCCCUCGCCAGUUUUAGUGUUCUCCCAUCAUCAGUUCGCAAUCUUAGGUGUCUUCGGACACUAAUUCGUUACAGUCACCAGGCUAGUAUUUGUUUGCCGGCAGAGAUAUGGGUGAUUAAACAAUUAAGGCAUCUCUAUUUCAGGAAAUGCUUCUACUUUCCUAAUGUUCAACCUGAACAAGAAAAUUAUCUGCUCAAGUUAAGUCGCUCUAAUCUUGCAGAGCGUAGUUUCUCUAGUGUUGCAUUAACCAAUCUGCAAACCCUUUCUUACAUUACCUUUGGUAGUAUUACAAGGCGCGUCUUUGAAGGCAUGCCCAACCUGAAGAAGUUAGGAAUUCGUGAAAGUGAAGAAGAAUGCCUGACUGCUGAACAAAUGUCUGGAAAACUCAAGAAACUGGUUCUGUUGGAACACCUUGAAACAUUCAAGGGUUUCUUUAUCAAACCAUGGAUACUUAAACAAUGUGAUGUUUUCCCACCAACCCUCAAGAAAUUGACGUUGCGGGGGUGCCAACUACCAUGGGACCAAAUGACGAUACUGUGCAAGUUACCCAAACUCGAGGUGCUCAAGCUCAAGGAUUAUGCUUUCCAAGGAUCAGAAUGGGAGCCAACUGACGAACGCUUUCAGCAGCUAAAAUUCCUACUGUUGGAUGGGACUGAUCUUAUCCACUGGAAAGCCAGUUCUAUUCAGUUCCCUAAGCUUGAGAGUCUUGUUCUGAAGAAUUGUUAUUGCCUGUAUGAGAUUCCUGAUGAAGUAGCGGAAAUACCUACCUUGCAGUUCAUUGAAUUGUAUCACUGUAGCUCUUCUGCUGAUGACUCCGCAAAUAGGAUUCAAGAAGAACAACAUAGCAUAGGAAAUGAC